Molecule: ribosomal RNA, 585 nt
Filed under: Pseudomonas sp. StFRB380
Lineage: Bacteria; Pseudomonadati; Pseudomonadota; Gammaproteobacteria; Pseudomonadales; Pseudomonadaceae
Description: bacterial SSU rRNA
Rfam family: Bacterial small subunit ribosomal RNA
Source: RNAcentral
ACGGGUGAGUAAUGCCUAGGAAUCUGCCUGGUAGUGGGGGAUAACGCUCGGAAACGGACGCUAAUACCGCAUACGUCCUACGGGAGAAAGCAGGGGACCUUCGGGCCUUGCGCUAUCAGAUGAGCCUAGGUCGGAUUAGCUAGUUGGUGAGGUAAUGGCUCACCAAGGCGACGAUCCGUAACUGGUCUGAGAGGAUGAUCAGUCACACUGGAACUGAGACACGGUCCAGACUCCUACGGGAGGCAGCAGUGGGGAAUAUUGGACAAUGGGCGAAAGCCUGAUCCAGCCAUGCCGCGUGUGUGAAGAAGGUCUUCGGAUUGUAAAGCACUUUAAGUUGGGAGGAAGGGUUGUAACCUAAUACGUUGCAAUCUUGACGUUACCGACAGAAUAAGCACCGGCUAACUCUGUGCCAGCAGCCGCGGUAAUACAGAGGGUGCAAGCGUUAAUCGGAAUUACUGGGCGUAAAGCGCGCGUAGGUGGUUCGUUAAGUUGGAUGUGAAAUCGCCGGGCUCAACCUGGGAACUGCAUUCAAAACUGACGAGCUAGAGUAUGGUAGAGGGUGGUGGAAUUUCCUGUGUAGCGGUG